GUCCUUCGGGACAUAUGGUCAAUUUGAAACGAUACAGAGAAGAUUAGCAUGGCCCCUGCAUAAGGAUGACACGCUUUGAUAAAGAGAGUAUGAUGUUUUUU
RNAcentral lists this small nuclear RNA (101 nucleotides) under Lipomyces starkeyi NRRL Y-11557. The record is from RNAcentral. Lineage: Eukaryota; Fungi; Ascomycota; Lipomycetes; Lipomycetales; Lipomycetaceae.